Long non-coding RNA from Solanum lycopersicum (tomato), 1610 nucleotides. RefSeq lists it as uncharacterized. Lineage: Eukaryota; Viridiplantae; Streptophyta; Magnoliopsida; Solanales; Solanaceae. The record is from RefSeq and is a predicted model, not a curated record.
CAAUUGCAUCAACAUUUUGGGGGCAGAGAGAAGUCAUGAAAAAAUUUAAUGAAUUCAUCGAUCAAGUUCUAUACGAAUUGGAUGAACUUUGUUAACCGUAGGUAAACUAACAAAAUAAAAAGGUUCUCAUAUCUUUGUAUUCAUGAUUCAACUUCUUGCCCCUCUACACGCUAAGGAGAAAAAAACAUGUUGUCGCGAUCCUAGACAAUAUAAAUAUUUACCUCCGAAAUAUAAAUUUGCAUGUACCUAAGAGGUGAUUAGUAUACUAUUACUUGUGAAUGACAAAUCAACCAAGCAUUUUUUUCCUAAAUGUCUUGUGUAUCCUAAUGAUGUGACCUCACAUUUUUUCUAAAAUGGAUGACCACAUCCAACAAUAGAAUUUCUAAGGAGUUCUCUUGGAUCUGGAGGUUGGAGGUAUCAAUUAGAUUAAAAUCUUCAUCUGUCUAUUCUCUCAUGGCUGAUUACCGUUCCGGCCAACCUAUUUGCAAGUUCAGUAAAAAUGGAGUUGAAAUCAUUGAUCACAACUUCUUUCAAUGUCAGAGAGCCAACACCUUCUGGAGAAAUAUGGCUAAAGCAACAAAUAUAUUGUUGUAAUUGAUUCAACAAUGGUCAACUGGAAAAGCACCUAGGAGGCUAGCAAGGGCAUGGAAUUCAACAACGGGAUCUCAUGGGAAAUGAUCACACCCUUUUGCCUUUGGGGACUUUGGAUUAAAAAAAAUGACAACAUUUUCAACGAUAAGAACUACCACGUCCAAAUAGAUCACAUCAUUGCACAAACCACUGAAUUCAAGCUCAUCGUAGCCAAAAGCAAUAGGACUAAAACCAUUAGAAUGGAUGUCCAAGUCAAAAGGAUCUUUCCAUCCCAAGGGGCAUACUACAAUUGUGUAACGAUGGCAACAAAGAUCACAAGUAUUUACACAGAGGUCAAACAUACAAGCAAUCUCUGGCACAUUUUCCUUACAUCCAAUGGAAGAUCUGAAGAGCAUAUCUCUUGAAGCUAUGUUCUGGCUUCCACAAGCCCACCAGAAAUUUUCUGUAAGACUGCCUCUUCACUUGCCAUUAAAGAUGCUAGUAACUUGGCACCAGCAAUCCUCUCCUGGUCGGAAUUAAACAAAAACACAUUAACCACGAGUAUGAAAUUAAUUCUCACAACGUGCUUCCAAAUAAUACUAGGAUUCACUUCUUUAUAGGCGAUAGAAGCAGCAGGCAAAUCCUCAUGAUCAGACCCAAAUGAAAAAAACGAGCAGCAGCAUGCACAAUAAUGAAAAGGAAAAAGGAAACCAGAGAGAAAGUUACGCCCAAUGGCAAAUUUAGCAGAUAAUAGCUUGUGAUGGCCCUUUUUUACCACAUCAAUAAAAUUUGAUAGUGACAGGUUUUGGUUCCACAGGGUGAUGCAAUGGAAUGAAGACACUAGGUGGACGCUGACCAAACACAUUACCACCACAAAAGCACCAAGACUGUUUGUGGUCAAGGAGAGAACCUUAAACAGGGCCAGACGAUUAGAUGCUUUAUACAAACUUGACCCUCCAUUUCCAAGGAAGAGCAUAUAUUUCAAAAGUAAAGCCUGUUUUAUUUUAGAAAGGGAUACAUAAUUUAAUAGUCCCUCCAUC